Molecule: ribosomal RNA, 1008 nt
Filed under: Bacillus siamensis
Lineage: Bacteria; Bacillati; Bacillota; Bacilli; Caryophanales; Bacillaceae
Description: bacterial SSU rRNA
Rfam family: Bacterial small subunit ribosomal RNA
Source: RNAcentral
UGCAGUCGAGCGGACAGAUGGGAGCUUGCUCCCUGAUGUUAGCGGCGGACGGGUGAGUAACACGUGGGUAACCUGCCUGUAAGACUGGGAUAACUCCGGGAAACCGGGGCUAAUACCGGAUGGUUGUUUGAACCGCAUGGUUCAGACAUAAAAGGUGGCUUCGGCUACCACUUACAGAUGGACCCGCGGCGCAUUAGCUAGUUGGUGAGGUAACGGCUCACCAAGGCGACGAUGCGUAGCCGACCUGAGAGGGUGAUCGGCCACACUGGGACUGAGACACGGCCCAGACUCCUACGGGAGGCAGCAGUAGGGAAUCUUCCGCAAUGGACGAAAGUCUGACGGAGCAACGCCGCGUGAGUGAUGAAGGUUUUCGGAUCGUAAAGCUCUGUUGUUAGGGAAGAACAAGUGCCGUUCAAAUAGGGCGGCACCUUGACGGUACCUAACCAGAAAGCCACGGCUAACUACGUGCCAGCAGCCGCGGUAAUACGUAGGUGGCAAGCGUUGUCCGGAAUUAUUGGGCGUAAAGGGCUCGCAGGCGGUUUCUUAAGUCUGAUGUGAAAGCCCCCGGCUCAACCGGGGAGGGUCAUUGGAAACUGGGGAACUUGAGUGCAGAAGAGGAGAGUGGAAUUCCACGUGUAGCGGUGAAAUGCGUAGAGAUGUGGAGGAACACCAGUGGCGAAGGCGACUCUCUGGUCUGUAACUGACGCUGAGGAGCGAAAGCGUGGGGAGCGAACAGGAUUAGAUANNUGGUAGUCCACGCCGUAAACGAUGAGUGCUAAGUGUUAGGGGGUUUCCGCCCCUUAGUGCUGCAGCUAACGCAUUAAGCACUCCGCCUGGGGAGUACGGUCGCAAGACUGAAACUCAAGNAAUUGACGGGGGCCCGCACAAGCGGUGGAGCAUGUGGUUUAAUUCGAAGCAACGCGAAGAACCNUACCAGGUCUUGACAUCCUUCUGACAAUCCUAGAGAUAGGACGUCCCCUUUCGGGGGCAGAGUGACAGGUGGUGGCA